RNAcentral lists this ribosomal RNA (1532 nucleotides) under Salmonella enterica subsp. enterica serovar Kentucky str. CVM29188. RNAcentral's name for it is "bacterial SSU rRNA". It matches the Rfam family "Bacterial small subunit ribosomal RNA". The record is from RNAcentral. Lineage: Bacteria; Pseudomonadati; Pseudomonadota; Gammaproteobacteria; Enterobacterales; Enterobacteriaceae.
AGAGUUUGAUCAUGGCUCAGAUUGAACGCUGGCGGCAGGCCUAACACAUGCAAGUCGAACGGUAGCACAGAGAGCUUGCUCUCGGGUGACGAGUGGCGGACGGGUGAGUAAUGUCUGGGAAACUGCCCGAUGGAGGGGGAUAACUACUGGAAACGGUAGCUAAUACCGCAUAACGUCGCAAGACCAAAGUGGGGGACCUUCGGGCCUCACACCAUCGGAUGUGCCCAGAUGGGAUUAGCUAGUAGGUGGGGUAACGGCUCACCUAGGCGACGAUCCCUAGCUGGUCUGAGAGGAUGACCAGCCACACUGGAACUGAGACACGGUCCAGACUCCUACGGGAGGCAGCAGUGGGGAAUAUUGCACAAUGGGCGCAAGCCUGAUGCAGCCAUGCCGCGUGUAUGAAGAAGGCCUUCGGGUUGUAAAGUACUUUCAGCGAGGAGGAAGGCGUUGUGGUUAAUAACCACAGCGAUUGACGUUACUCGCAGAAGAAGCACCGGCUAACUCCGUGCCAGCAGCCGCGGUAAUACGGAGGGUGCAAGCGUUAAUCGGAAUUACUGGGCGUAAAGCGCACGCAGGCGGUUUGUUAAGUCAGAUGUGAAAUCCCCGGGCUCAACCUGGGAACUGCAUUUGAAACUGGCAAGCUUGAGUCUCGUAGAGGGGGGUAGAAUUCCAGGUGUAGCGGUGAAAUGCGUAGAGAUCUGGAGGAAUACCGGUGGCGAAGGCGGCCCCCUGGACAAAGACUGACGCUCAGGUGCGAAAGCGUGGGGAGCAAACAGGAUUAGAUACCCUGGUAGUCCACGCCGUAAACGAUGUCUACUUGGAGGUUGUGCCCUUGAGGCGUGGCUUCCGGAGCUAACGCGUUAAGUAGACCGCCUGGGGAGUACGGCCGCAAGGUUAAAACUCAAAUGAAUUGACGGGGGCCCGCACAAGCGGUGGAGCAUGUGGUUUAAUUCGAUGCAACGCGAAGAACCUUACCUGGUCUUGACAUCCACGGAAGUUUUCAGAGAUGAGAAUGUGCCUUCGGGAACCGUGAGACAGGUGCUGCAUGGCUGUCGUCAGCUCGUGUUGUGAAAUGUUGGGUUAAGUCCCGCAACGAGCGCAACCCUUAUCCUUUGUUGCCAGCGGUUAGGCCGGGAACUCAAAGGAGACUGCCAGUGAUAAACUGGAGGAAGGUGGGGAUGACGUCAAGUCAUCAUGGCCCUUACGACCAGGGCUACACACGUGCUACAAUGGCGCAUACAAAGAGAAGCGACCUCGCGAGAGCAAGCGGACCUCAUAAAGUGCGUCGUAGUCCGGAUUGGAGUCUGCAACUCGACUCCAUGAAGUCGGAAUCGCUAGUAAUCGUGGAUCAGAAUGCCACGGUGAAUACGUUCCCGGGCCUUGUACACACCGCCCGUCACACCAUGGGAGUGGGUUGCAAAAGAAGUAGGUAGCUUAACCUUCGGGAGGGCGCUUACCACUUUGUGAUUCAUGACUGGGGUGAAGUCGUAACAAGGUAACCGUAGGGGAACCUGCGGUUGGAUCACCUCCUU